GAUGUCCCAUUGGUGGAUGAUGCCCCAGCAGUUGAUGAUGUCCCAUUGGUGGAUGAUGCCCCAGCAGUUGAUGAUGUCCCAGCAGUGGAUGAUGCCCCAGGUGUGU
This is a long non-coding RNA of Sapajus apella (tufted capuchin), 106 nucleotides long. RefSeq lists it as uncharacterized. Lineage: Eukaryota; Metazoa; Chordata; Mammalia; Primates; Cebidae. The record is from RefSeq and is a predicted model, not a curated record. The transcript has 3 exons.